RNAcentral lists this long non-coding RNA (376 nucleotides) under Amborella trichopoda. RNAcentral's name for it is "long non-coding RNA (ATRI_LNC000096)". Lineage: Eukaryota; Viridiplantae; Streptophyta; Magnoliopsida; Amborellales; Amborellaceae. The record is from RNAcentral.
AGAGAGAGAGAGAGAGAGAGAGAGAGUCUAGAAAGAGAGUAAUAAAGUGAGAUGAAAUGAAAGGGACCUCUGGCGUAAGAAAUUGCAGAAACAGGGGUCUUCAGAGCAUCAACGGCCUUGUAUAGAAAAAAGAUCGAAUUCCACCGUGAGCAUCCAGCGGAUGAGGUACCGCAAUAUUUUAAUGGUGGGUUACAGAGAAUUCAUGGCCCACAUUCGUGCGUUUUUAGAGAGAGCGAGAGGAUGGUCCAUUUGUGUGAUUCUCCAGUGGUUGCAUUAUUUUGACAGCAACUGUUGCCAAAGCUCCACUUUCUCUCUCCUCUUUCUCUCUUACCUCACCUUUUCUCUCUCCUCUUUCUCUCUUACCUCACCUUUUCUC